AAAGUUAAGUAGUUUAAGUUGUGUGCAAGUGGUAGGAGAGCGUUCUAUUUGCGUCGAAGGUAUACCGGUAAGGAGUGCUGGAGCGAAUAGAAGUGAGCAUGCAGGCAUGAGUAGCGAUAAUUAAUGUGAGAAUCAUUAACGCCGUAAACCCAAGGUUUCCUACGCGAUGCUCGUCAUCGUAGGGUUAGUCGGGUCCUAAGUCGAGUCCGAAAGGGGUAGACGAUGGCAAAUUGGUUAAUAUUCCAAUACCAACAUUAGUGUGCGAUGGAAGGACGCUUAGGGCUAAGGGGGCUAGCGGAUGGAAGUGCUAGUCUAAGGUCGUAGGAGGUUAUACAGGCAAAUCCGUAUAACAAUACUCCGAGAACUGAAAGGCUUUUUGAAGUCUUCGGAUGGAUAGAAGAACCCCUGAUGCCAUCGAGCCAAGAAAAGUUUCUAAGUUUAGCUAAUGUUGCCCGUACCGUAAACCGACACAGGUGGGUGGGAUGAGUAUUCUAAGGCGCGUGGAAGAACUCUCUUUAAGGAACUCUGCAAAAUAGCACCGUA
RNAcentral lists this ribosomal RNA (543 nucleotides) under Campylobacter coli. RNAcentral's name for it is "partial 23S ribosomal RNA". It matches the Rfam family "Bacterial large subunit ribosomal RNA", at positions 1196 to 1732 of the family's 2925-position model. The record is from RNAcentral. Lineage: Bacteria; Pseudomonadati; Campylobacterota; Epsilonproteobacteria; Campylobacterales; Campylobacteraceae.